UUGAUCCUGGCUCAGGAUGAACGCUAGCGGCAGGCUUAACACAUGCAAGUCGAGGGGCAGCACGGGUAGCAAUACUUGGUGGCGACCGGCGCAAGGGUGCGUAACGCGUUACCUGUAACAGAGGGAUAGCCCAUAGAAAUGUGGAUUAAUAUCUCAUAGUUCUAUUAGAUCGCAUGAUUUGAUAGAUAAAGCUCCGGCGGUUACAGAUGGGCAUGCGUGACAUUAGCUAGUUGGUAAGGUAACGGCUUACCAUGGCUACGAUGUCUAGGGGUUCUGAGAGGAAGAUCCCCCACACUGGAACUGAGACACGGUCCAGACUCCUACGGGAGGCAGCAGUGAGGAAUAUUGGACAAUGGAUGGAAAUCUGAUCCAGCCAUGCCGCGUGCAGGAAGACGGCCCUAUGGGUUGUAAACUGCUUUUAUACGGGAGCAAUAAGGUCUAUGCGUAGGCCGAUGAGAGUACCGUAGGAAUAAGCACCGGCUAACUCCGUGCCAGCAGCCGCGGUAAUACGGAGGGUGCAAGCGUUAUCCGGAUUUAUUGGGUUUAAAGGGUGCGUAGGCGGUCUAUUAAGUCAGCGGUGAAAGUUUUCAGCUUAACUGGAAAAAUGCCGUUGAUACUGAUAGGCUAGAAUAUGGUUGCUGUGGGUGGAAUGUGUGGUGUAGCGGUGAAAUGCUUAGAUAUCACACAGAAUAUCAAUUGCGAAGGCAGCUUACUAAACUGAUACUGACGCUGAGGCACGAAAGUGUGGGGAUCAAACAGGAUUAGAUACCCUGGUAGUCCACACCGUAAACGAUGAUAACUCGCUGUCGGCGAUACAUUGCCAGUGACUGAGCGAAAGCAUUAAGUAAUCCACCUGGGGAGUACGUUCGCAAGAAUGAAACUCAAAGGAAUUGACGGGGGCCCGCACAAGCGGAGGAACAUGUGGUUUAAUUCGAUGAUACGCGAGGAACCUUACCUGGGCUUAAAUGUAGAGCGACAGAUUGUGAAAGCCUGAUUCCCUUCUGGGCUGCUUACAAGGUGCUGCAUGGUUGUCGUCAGCUCGUGCCGUGAGGUGUCGGGUUAAGUCCCAUAACGAGCGCAACCCUUAUCGUUAGUUGCCAGCGGAUCAUGCCGGGGACUCUAGCGAGACUGCCACCGUAAGGUGUGAGGAAGGUGGGGAUGACGUCAAAUCAGCACGGCCCUUAUGUCCAGGGCGACACACGUGCUACAAUGGCCGAUACAAAGGGCAGCUACCAGGUGACUGGAUGCGAAUCUCUAAAGCCGGUCUCAGUUCGGAUCGGAGUCUGCAACUCGACUCCGUGAAGUCGGAUUCGCUAGUAAUCGCGCAUCAGCCAUGGCGCGGUGAAUACGUUCCCGGGCCUUGUACACACCGCCCGUCAAGCCAUGGAAGUUGGGGGUGCCUAAAGUUCGUGACCGCAAGGAGCGACCUAGGGUAAAACCAAUGACUGGGGCUAAGUCGUAACAAGGUAACC
This 1472-nucleotide ribosomal RNA is filed under the name uncultured bacterium. Its description in RNAcentral is "16S ribosomal RNA". It matches the Rfam family "Bacterial small subunit ribosomal RNA". The record is from RNAcentral.